AAGUCGUAACAAGGUUUCCGUAGGUGAACCUGCGGAAGGAUCAUUACAACGUAUCCAACGUAAACAAACGCGAACCUUCCCUUUGGUUAGUGGAGCUGAAGCAGGCCGCUGCUCGGUAAUAAAGUUAGUCAGGCUGAACUGCUAAUGUAGUGCUCUGUCGAUGGAGCCAUCUGGAGAGUCCAGAUGCCUGGAGCAUCAGUUCUUGGCCCGGAUUAGUCUUUCGGAGACGUGUCCGAACUUUGUCCACCCCAAAGUGUAUCCAACCAUCGGUUAUUGAAACCCUUUAUUAACUCUGUAACCUUUUGUACUGAACUUUGGUAGCGCUGUGGUAGUCCUUGUUGGCUUCGGUCACGGAUUGCAUUAACGCAGUGUUUACUAAUUUAUUACGUAAAUAAGAACAACUCUUAACAACGGAUAUCUUGGCUCUCGUAUCGAUGAAGAACGGC
RNAcentral lists this unclassified non-coding RNA (446 nucleotides) under fungal sp. RNAcentral's name for it is "partial internal transcribed spacer region". The stretch from base 1 to 46 matches the Rfam family "Eukaryotic small subunit ribosomal RNA", at positions 1786 to 1831 of the family's 1831-position model. Lineage: Eukaryota; Fungi. The record is from RNAcentral.